This 49-nucleotide small nucleolar RNA is filed under the name Pyrobaculum islandicum DSM 4184. Its description in RNAcentral is "PISsR114". The record is from RNAcentral. Lineage: Archaea; Thermoproteati; Thermoproteota; Thermoprotei; Thermoproteales; Thermoproteaceae.
AUGAUGAUAACGACCGCUUACGAAUUGUGACGAGGGUAUGCAGCGCUGA